This 2322-nucleotide ribosomal RNA is filed under the name Triticum aestivum (bread wheat). Its description in RNAcentral is "partial small subunit ribosomal RNA". The record is from RNAcentral. Lineage: Eukaryota; Viridiplantae; Streptophyta; Magnoliopsida; Poales; Poaceae.
AUGGGACGCCGCACGCACGCCGUCCAGGCGGCCGCGCUGCUGCUCGCCUUCCUCCAUCUGCACGCGGCCGCGGCCGCCGGCCCGCCCUUCUCCUGCGGCGCGGCGUCGGGCGCGCCGUACUGCGACCGGAAGCUGCCAAUGGAGCGGCGGGCGGCGGACCUGGUGUCGAAGCUGUCGCUGGAGGAGAAGAUCUCGCAGCUGGGCGACGAGUCGCCGGCGGUGGCCCGGCUGGGCGUUCCGGCGUACAAGUGGUGGUCGGAGGCGCUGCACGGCGUGGCGUGGAGCAAGGGCAUGCACCUGGACGGCCCGCUCCGCGCCGCCACCAGCUUCCCGCAGGUCAUCCUCACCGCCGCGUCCUUCAACCCACACCUCUGGUACCGCAUCGGCCAGGUGAUCGGCAGGGAGGCGCGGGGCGUGUACAACAACGGGCAGGCGGAGGGGCUGACCUUGUGGGCGCCCAACAUCAACGUGUUCCGGGACCCGCGGUGGGGCCGGGGCCAGGAGACCCCCGGCGAGGACCCGGCCAUGACGGGCAAGUACGCCGCCGUGUUCGUCCGCGGCGUGCAGGGCCACGGCAUGUCCGGCGCCAUCAACUCCUCCGACCUGGAGGCCUCCGCCUGCUGCAAGCACUUCACCGCCUACGACCUCGACAACUGGAAGGGCGUCACCCGCUUCGCCUUCGACGCAAAGGUGACGGAGCAGGACCUGGCGGACACGUACAACCCGCCGUUCAAGAGCUGCGUGGAGGACGGCGGCGCCAGCGGCAUCAUGUGCUCCUACAACCGCGUCAAUGGCGUGCCCACCUGCGCCGACCACAACCUCCUCUCCAAGACCGCCAGAGGCGACUGGAGAUUCAACGGAUACAUCACGUCGGACUGCGACGCCGUGGCCAUCAUCCACGACGUCCAGGGGUAUGCCAAGGCGCCAGAGGAUGCGGUGGCAGAUGUCCUCAAGGCCGGUAUGGACGUGAACUGCGGCGGCUACAUCCAGACGCACGGCGUGUCGGCGUACCGGCAGGGCAAGAUCACGGGGGAGGACAUCGACAGGGCCCUCCGCAACCUCUUCGCCAUCCGGAUGCGGCUGGGCCUCUUCAACGGCAACCCCAAGUACAACCGGUACGGCAACAUCGGCGCCGGCCAGGUGUGCAGCAAGGAGCACCAGGACCUGGCCCUGCAGGCGGCGCAGGACGGCAUCGUCCUGCUCAAGAACCACGCCGCCGCGCUGCCCCUCUCCAAGUCCAGGCUCUCCUCCUCCUCCAUCGCCGUCAUCGGGCCCAACGGCAACAACGCGUCGCUGCUGCUCGGCAACUACUUCGGCCCGCCGUGCAUCUCCGUCACGCCGUUCCAGGCGCUGCAGGGGUACGUCAAGGACGCCCGGUUCGUCCAGGGAUGCAACGCCGCCGUCUGCAACGUGUCCGACAUCGGGGAGGCGGUGCGCGCGGCCGGCUCGGCGGACUACGUCGUGCUGUUCAUGGGGCUGGAUCAGGACCAGGAGAAGGAGGAGGUGGAUAGGCUGGACCUGGGGCUCCCCGGGAUGCAGGAGAGCCUUGUCAACAAGGUUGCCGACGCGGCGAAGAAGCCGGUGAUCUUGGUGCUGCUUUGCGGUGGACCGGUGGACGUGACGUUCGCCAAGAACAAUCCUAAGAUCGGCGCCAUUGUCUGGGCUGGUUACCCUGGCCAGGCCGGUGGCAUCGCCAUUGCCCAGGUCCUCUUCGGCGACCACAACCCCGGUGGGAGGCUGCCGGUGACAUGGUACCCCAAGGAGUUCACGGCGGUGCCGAUGACGGACAUGCGGAUGCGCGCCGACCCGUCCACGGGCUACCCGGGACGCACCUACAGGUUCUACAAGGGCAAGACCGUGUACAACUUCGGCUACGGCCUGAGCUACUCCAACUACUCCCACCGGUUCGCGUCCAAGGGCACGAGGCCGCCGUCCACGAGAAGCGGCAUCGAGGGCCUCAAGGCGACGGCGUCGGCGGCGGGCACGGUGAGCUACGACGUGGAGGAGAUGGGCGCGGAGGCGUGCGACAGGCUCCGGUUCCCGGCGGUGGUGAGGGUGCAGAACCACGGGCCCAUGGACGGGAGGCACCCGGUGCUGCUGUUCCUCCGGUGGCCGAACGCGACGGACGGGCGGCCCGCGAGCCAGCUCAUCGGGUUCCAGAGCGUGCACCUCAAGGCGGACGAGGCCGCGCACGUGGAGUUCGAGGUGAGCCCCUGCAAGCACUUGAGCAGGGCCGCGGAGGACGGCCGCAAGGUGAUCGACCAGGGGUCGCACUUCCUCAAGGUGGGCGACGACGAGUUCGAGUUGAGCUUCAUGGCCUGA